UCAAAACUUUUACUCCUUCCCACUUUUCCCCCAAAACUUUUACUCCCCUCCCCUCCCAACCCCCAAUCUACUCAAAAUACAUUUCCUACCAAAAUUUUACUCUUCCAUUCAUUUUUUUUCAAAAUUUUACUCUCAAAAACCCUCAAAACUUUUUAUUUUCCCCCAAAAUUUUUACUCCCUCCCACUUUUCCCCUAAAAUUUUUAUUCUCUUCCCAUCCCACCUCCCACCUCCCAUCUACCCCAAACCCUCCCCCCUCCAAUUUUUUUUUAAUAUUUUCCCUCCAAAAUUUUACUCCCCCUAUUUACUUUCCCUCAAACUUUUAUUCCCCAAAACUUUUUAUUUUCCCCCUAAACUUUUACCUCUCAC
RNAcentral lists this long non-coding RNA (367 nucleotides) under Gossypium raimondii (Peruvian cotton). Its description in RNAcentral is "long non-coding RNA (GRAI_LNC005490)". Lineage: Eukaryota; Viridiplantae; Streptophyta; Magnoliopsida; Malvales; Malvaceae. The record is from RNAcentral.